Long non-coding RNA from Amblyraja radiata (thorny skate), 94 nucleotides. RefSeq lists it as uncharacterized. The record is from RefSeq and is a predicted model, not a curated record. The transcript has 2 exons. NCBI's taxonomy places the organism in Eukaryota, Metazoa, Chordata, Chondrichthyes, Rajiformes, Rajidae.
GUGAAAAAUUGUGAAUCAACUGGAACUGAAAGGAGGCAGCAGUGUAUCCCGGGUUAUCAUGCCGAGUGCUAUCGUCACUUCUGCAACAUUACAA